Piliocolobus tephrosceles (Ugandan red Colobus) is the source of this 2613-nucleotide RNA transcript. It is a transcript of the gene named glutamate dehydrogenase 1, mitochondrial-like, with no coding region annotated. Lineage: Eukaryota; Metazoa; Chordata; Mammalia; Primates; Cercopithecidae. The record is from RefSeq and is a predicted model, not a curated record. The transcript is spliced from 7 exons.
UAUUAUAUUUUCUAGGAACAGAAAGCUGAAAAAGUGAGUGUUGUCUCUAUUGGUAAAAGUGUACCUUAAAUACAUUCAUACACACACACACUCACACUCCUAAUUAGCAUUAAAUGAGAAUGUGCUUUGACUGUAAUUCAUUAUAUUUGUUCAACAGAGAAAUUGGACUUGACAUUUCAUUCUUUCAAUUACUCCCUCUUACAGGAUAUUAAUGGACAUGCCUAUGUUACUGGUAAACCCAUCAGCCAAGGGGGAAUCGAUGGACGCAUCUCUGCUACUGGCCGUGGUGUGUUCCAUGGGAUUGAAAACUUCAUCAAUGAAGCUUCUUAAUGAGCAUUUUAGGAAUGACACCAGGGUUUGGAGAUCAAAUAUUUGUUGUUAAGGGAUUUGGUAAUGUGGGCCUACACUCUAUGAGAUAUUUACAUCGUUUUGGUGCUAAAUGUAUUGCUGUUGUGAGUCUGAUGAGAGUAUAUGGAAUCCAGAUGGUAUUGACCCAAAGGAACUGGAAGACUUCAAAUUGCAACAUGGGUCCAUUCUGGGCUUCCCCAAGGCAAAGCCCUACGAAGGAAGCAUCUUGGAGGCCAACUGUGACAUACUGAUCCCAGCUGCCAGUGAGAAGCAGUUGACCAAAUCCAACGCGCCCAGAGUCAAAGCCAAGAUCAUUGCUGAAGGUGCCAAUGGGCCAACAACUCCAGAAGCGGACAAGAUCUUCCUGGAGAGAAACAUUAUGGUUAUUCCAGAUCUCUACCUGAAUGCUUGAGGAGUGACAGUAUCUUACUUUGAGUGGCUGAAGAAUCUAAAUCAUGUCAGCUAUGGCCAUUUGACCUUCAAAUAUGAAAGGGAUUCUAACUACCACUUGCUCAUGUCUGUUCAAGACAGUUUAGAAAGAAAAUUGGGAAAGCAUCGUGGAACUGUUCCCAUUGUACCCACAGGAGAGUUCCAAGACAGGAUAUCGCAAAUUAUGCGCACAGCCAUGAGGUAUAACCUGGGAUUGGACCUGAGAACAGCUGCCUAUGUCAAUGCCAUUGAGAAAGUCUUCAAAGUGUACAAUGAAGCUGGUGUGACCUUCACAUAGAUGGAUCGUGGCUGACUUCCUCACUACCCUCUUCACCUGUAACUUCUGCAGACCUAUCACAAGUUUACAUGUAACCACAGAAAUCCCUUUCUCUCCUGACUCAGUAAUAAUGGAUACCAUUCUCAACAAGUCAAUGCAAAUCAGCCCCGAAGGAGAAAGAAAUUAAGGUUAGGGGAUCAUGUACAAGCUGAGUGUGAAAGUAGAAAUCACCUACACCAGAGAGCCAUUUUGGUAUUUUGCCUUUAAAUAAAAAGUCUCCUCCAUCUGGCUGUGCAGCCUUGCUCUGUGGCUUUUCGCAAAACAAUCAGUGCUAUUGCUGGGGAAGGGACAGUCAAGAGCAGUCAGUUGCUUGCUUAUUUUGCUCUGGACGAGUCUGGGACACGCUGUAACUUUAACACAUUUAAGAAGUAGGUGUGUGGCCUUUUCAGAAGGUGGCAUGGUCCUCAAGUGAGUUCUUAGUAUUUUAUAUCAGCAAAAUAACUCAAUUUUGCAGGUUGCAGACAAAUAUAAAAGCUGUUUCUGUUUAUGAAUUCUAUUCUUUUAGAAUAAAAUAAGUAUAUGCUGCUGUAAUAAAAUUGUCUUUAAUCACUUAACAGGCCUAACCUUGACUCAAACAGUGAAUGCCUAUAAAAAUAAUAAAUGAAAAAAACUAGUAUCAUAAAACAGUGUCAUUUAUAGCUUAUCAGUCAUGUAUUAUUGUCCAGCAAACAUUAAAAGCCUUGUAGAUAAUUAAGUUUUCUUCAUACCUGCAAAAUGGUGGAGGCUAUUUUGGUUAAAACUGUCAGAAUUUGCUAACUGUAAUUGACACAUAGUCCAAAAAAUGCAGUGACCUUUUUAUCAUGUUACUAAUUGUUCUCUUUGGAAGAUCCAUGGUUGACUAAUUAAACGGUAAUUCAAGUAGAGUGUCCAAGAAAAAAAACCACCUGGGCUCUCUGUUUGGAGUCUGGCUGGCUCUGAGCAUUGCCAAUGGCCCCUACUCACCUGACUUUGUGUCCUCUCCUUUUAGAGGCUUUCCAUUCUGCACCCAACUUCGCUAACAGUGGGCUGAAAACAACCUUGGGUUGAGUGUUUCGUUUGGGAGUUAUUUGGCCAGGGCCUUUUGAACAGUAGUGUCCCCAUGAAGUGCUAAAUAAUGUUAUGUGUAAGAAUGAGCUUUUUUUUUUCUUUUAACUGUAACACCCUUGAGAAAUUUCUAACUACUUUGUAACUGCAUGGCUUAACCAGGUGAUAAAAGCAAGUAUUAAAAGUCUACGUUUUCCAAAACUUAUGUUUCUUUUCUGUGUUUUUACAUGUGGUAGUUUCUCUUUUCAUAAGUUAUAACACUGCAAUUGGAUUUCUGAAAUGUUUAUAGCGACUACCCAUAUAAUAUUUCCUUCCACUUUAUUGUGAGCUGCCCAGAUUUUAUUCUUGAAUUUUUUUUUCCCAGCGCUCUACAUGUUCCGAGAAACUUCCCUAGUAACGAACUAUAGAAAUGAUCCCUGAAAGCAUAGUCUUUAUUCUCGAAUUAUUUUGUAUUUUAUUAAAUAAUAUCAACAACU